AGUUCGCGUGAGGGAUAGAGGCGGUAUCCUUUUAUUCCUCCCGAUAGCAAUCGGGAGGAAUAAAAGAUAUAGCCGAAAGCCCGGCCCGGA
Molecule: small RNA, 90 nt
Filed under: Flavobacterium hercynium
Lineage: Bacteria; Pseudomonadati; Bacteroidota; Flavobacteriia; Flavobacteriales; Flavobacteriaceae
Description: Flavo-1 RNA
Rfam family: Flavo-1 RNA
Source: Rfam by way of RNAcentral